RNAcentral lists this ribosomal RNA (454 nucleotides) under Uniomerus declivis. RNAcentral's name for it is "partial 16S large subunit ribosomal RNA". It matches the Rfam family "Bacterial large subunit ribosomal RNA", at positions 1908 to 2601 of the family's 2925-position model. The record is from RNAcentral. Lineage: Eukaryota; Metazoa; Mollusca; Bivalvia; Unionida; Unionidae.
GUGAGCUAAUACCUUAAACGGCCGCGUUAGCGUGAGCGUGCUAAGGUAGCGUAAUAAAUAGCCCCUUAAUUGGGGGCCAGUGAAUGGCAAGACUAGGAACAUUUGUACCUUUUAUAUGAGAAAAACUUUUCAUCUUGGUGAAAAGACCAAGAUACUUAAGGAAGACGAAAAGACCCCGCGGAACUUUACCUUUUCCAACCCUACGCUCAAUAAGCACAAUAAAUGAAAGGUUUGAUUGGGGCAAUCUCGGAAUCAACAAAGCUUCCGAUUCCUUUUUAAAACUAUAUAAAAUUCAAUAAGGACAAAAAAGAAGUUACCCCGGGGAUAACAGCGUAAUCCAACUUGAGAGUACACAUCGAAAGUUGGGUUUGCGACCUCGAUGUUGGCUUAAGGAUAUCCACACUAGUGCAACCGCUAUGAAAGGAUAGUCUGUUCGACUAUUAUACCCUUACAU